UAGGGAAUCUUCGGCAAUGGACGAAAGUCUGACCGAGCAACGCCGCGUGAGUGAAGAAGGUUUUCGGAUCGUAAAACUCUGUUGGUAGAGAAGAACGUUGGUGAGAGUGGAAAGCUCAUCAAGUGACGGUAACUACCCAGAAAGGGACGGCUAACUACGUGCCAGCAGCCGCGGUAAUACGUAGGUCCCGAGCGUUGUCCGGAUUUAUUGGGCGUAAAGCGAGCGCAGGUGGUUUAUUAAGUCUGGUGUAAAAGGCAGUGGCUCAACCAUUGUAUGCAUUGGAAACUUGUAGACUUGAGUGCAGGAGAGGAGAGUGGAAUUCCAUGUGUAGCGGUGAAAUGCGUAGAUAUAUGGAGGAACACCGGUGGCAAAAGCGGCUCUCUGGCCUGUAACUGACACUGAGGCUCGAAAGCGUGGGGAGCAAACA
Molecule: ribosomal RNA, 427 nt
Filed under: uncultured bacterium
Lineage: Bacteria
Description: partial 16S ribosomal RNA
Rfam family: Bacterial small subunit ribosomal RNA
Source: RNAcentral